GCAGAACGACAGAUUUUUACCUGGUCAGCUCGGAGGAUUUGAUCUUGCGACCUUUCGGUUACUGGUCCAACACUCUAACCACUAGGCUAUGCUGCCGCCCCCAUUUAGAGGUUAAUGUGGAAAGGGAGGUUUGAUUUACUCUAGUAUUUAAAUAUCAUGUGACGCCACUAUUUAAAUACCUUUAUUUAAAUUCUUAUUUACAAUGAUGGCCUACCCUGGGCUAUACCCGGAUGAUGCUGGGCCAGUUGUGCGCCGCCCUAUGGGACUCCCAAUCACAGCUGGAUUCGAGCCAGGGACUGUAGUGAUGCUUCUUGCACUGAGAUGCAUUGCCUAGACUGCUGCGCCACUUGGGAGACCAAUCAUGUGACGCCGCUGUUCAUCAUGCCGCUUCACCUGGACUGCUAUUCCCACAGUCUUGAAGGAGUUCCCACAUAUGCUGAGCAUUUGUUGGCUGCUUUUCCUUCACUCUGCGGUCCAACACCUCCAAUAAUAUGGACUUGGUCUUUUACCAAAUAGGGAUAUAAUUCUGUAUACCCCCCUACCUUGUCACAACACACCUGAUUGGCUCAAACGCAUUAAAGAAAGAAAUUCCACAAAUUAACAUUUAACAGGGCACACCUACUAAUUGAAAUGCAUUCUGGGUGACUACCUCAUGAAGCUGGUUGAAAGAAUGCCAAGAUAAAUGGCAGAUUCAUAUAUCAUGAAGCUGUCAUAUGACACCGCUGUUUGUAUAUAACGAUGCCAUCAGUUACACGGUGGGUUUGGUGUUCGGAAGAUGGCUGUAUUUGUGUGUGUGUCAUGGCGUAGUCGGAGCAUGAAAUCUGUCAUCAUGGGACCAGUGGUGCAUUAUGGGAACUAUGGCUUGGCGGUCCUUUCACUCUGGUCUGUAUGUGUGAAUCCCACCCCUCCUGUGAUCAGGGACCUCCUUUUCUCUGCCGGCUGAGCACACUGCAUCAGCCGCUGGGCUGAGAUUUGCCUCACAUCCCUCUUUGAUACUGAGGCCGAGCUCCAUGCCACCCAGGACCUCUAAGAAUAUCUAGAAGACCGUUCACUCUACUACCGUCCAGCAAAUGGUACCUGAGCAUUAAGACUGCUAAAUAGUUCAUUAAUGGUUACCCGGACAACCUGCACAUUCACCAGACUUUACAGUGAAUUUGGAAAGUAUUCAGACCCCUUGACUUUUUCUAUAUUUCGUUUACAUUACAGGCCUAUUCUAAAAUGGAUAAAAUUAUUGUUUUCCCUCAUCAAUCUACACACAAUAUCCCAUAAUAACAAAACAGAAACCGCUUUUUAGAAUUUUUUGGCAA
This 1307-nucleotide long non-coding RNA is filed under the name Salmo salar (Atlantic salmon). RNAcentral's name for it is "lncRNA (ENSSSAG00000105777.1)". The record is from RNAcentral. Lineage: Eukaryota; Metazoa; Chordata; Actinopteri; Salmoniformes; Salmonidae.